RNAcentral lists this ribosomal RNA (498 nucleotides) under uncultured bacterium. RNAcentral describes it as "partial 16S ribosomal RNA". It matches the Rfam family "Bacterial small subunit ribosomal RNA", at positions 28 to 506 of the family's 1533-position model. The record is from RNAcentral.
GACGAACGCUGGCGGCGUGCCUAAUACAUGCAAGUCGAGCGAAGUUUUUCUGGUGCUUGCACCGGAAAAACUUAGCGGCGAACGGGUGAGUAACACGUAAAGAACCUGCCUCAUAGACUGGGACAACUAUUGGAAACGAUAGCUAAUACCGGAUAAUAGCAUUAACUGCAUGGUUGAUGUUUAAAAGUUGGUUUUGCUAACACUAUGAGAUGGCUUUGCGGUGCAUUAGCUAGUUGGUGGGGUAAAGGCCUACCAAGGCGACGAUGCAUAGCCGACCUGAGAGGGUGAUCGGCCACACUGGGACUGAGACACGGCCCAGACUCCUACGGGAGGCAGCAGUAGGGAAUCUUCCGCAAUGGGCGAAAGCCUGACGGAGCAACGCCGCGUGAGUGAAGAAGGAUUUCGGUUCGUAAAGCUCUGUUGUUAGGGAAGAAUGAUUGUGUAGUAACUAUACACAGUAGAGACGGUACCUAACCAGAAAACCACGGCGAACUACGU